This 537-nucleotide ribosomal RNA is filed under the name Triticum aestivum (bread wheat). RNAcentral's name for it is "partial small subunit ribosomal RNA". Lineage: Eukaryota; Viridiplantae; Streptophyta; Magnoliopsida; Poales; Poaceae. The record is from RNAcentral.
AUGACUUUUCCUUCUUACUAUUAUUCCAAUAUAUAUUCCAAAAGGCACAUAACUUACGUGUGCUACAAAUGUCUGCAGCAUCUGCUGAUUUUCUCAAACAUGGGAUUGAGGAGGUGGAUGGGUCUUUCCCUCAAAUUUUGAGCAAAUUGUACCAUCUCCAAGUAUUAGUCGGUUCAUACAAUGAUCGUACUAUGCCUGGUUGUAUUGAUAAUCUUGUUAGCCUGCGGCAUCUUGUUGUACACAAGGGAGUGUACUCUUCCAUUGCAACCAUUGAUAAUAUGCUAUCAUUUCAGGAACGACAUGGUUUCAAGUUUCAUAUUUCUAGUGGCUUUGAGAUAACACAACUCCAAUCCACUGAACAUUGGAUGCAUGUUAAUACUCUGGAAGAUGUUUAUGAGGCAGGACUGGUAAACAAUGAACUCUCAGAAAAGUUGCACUUGUCCUGGAAGGAUUCUCCUGCGGACAUGGUCAUGGAGGUUGAGGGUUGGGAACCACAUUGGGACUUAAGGGUUCUCGAGAUAUCUGGGUAUAAUUUUG